This 460-nucleotide ribosomal RNA is filed under the name uncultured bacterium. RNAcentral's name for it is "partial 16S ribosomal RNA". It matches the Rfam family "Bacterial small subunit ribosomal RNA", at positions 338 to 795 of the family's 1533-position model. The record is from RNAcentral.
CCUACGGGUGGCAGCAGUGAGGAAUAUUGGUCAAUGGGCGCGAGCCUGAACCAGCCAAGUAGCGUGAAUGAUGACUGCCCUACGGGUUGUAAACUUCUUUUAUAAAGGAAUAAAGUGAGGCACGUGUGCCUUUUUGUAUGUACUUUAUGCAUAAGGAUCGGCUAACUCCGUGCCAGCAGCAGCGGUAAUACGGAGGAUCCGAGCGUUAUCCGGAUUUAUUGGGUGUAAAGGGAGCGUAGGUGGGGUGUUAAGUCAGUUGUGAAAGCUUGCGGCUCAACCGUAAAAUUGCAAUUGAUACUGGCAGGCUUGAGUAGAGUAGAGGUAGGCGGAAUUCGUGGUGUAGCGGUGAAAUGCGUAGAUAUCAGGAGGAACACCGAUGGCGAAGGCAGCCUACUGAACUGACACUGACGUUGAUGCUCGAAAGUGUGGGUAGCAAACAGGAUUAGAUACCCCAGUAGUC